RNAcentral lists this ribosomal RNA (495 nucleotides) under uncultured bacterium. RNAcentral describes it as "partial 16S ribosomal RNA". It matches the Rfam family "Bacterial small subunit ribosomal RNA", at positions 28 to 507 of the family's 1533-position model. The record is from RNAcentral.
GAUGAACGCUGGCGGCGUGCCUAAUACAUGCAAGUAGAACGCUGAAGGAGGAGCUUGCUUCUCUGGAUGAGUUGCGAACGGGUGAGUAACGCGUAGGUAACCUGCCUGGUAGCGGGGGAUAACUAUUGGAAACGAUAGCUAAUACCGCAUAAGAGUAGAUGUUGCAUGACAUUUGCUUAAAAGGUGCAAUUGCAUCACUACCAGAUGGACCUGCGUUGUAUUAGCUAGUUGGUGAGGUAACGGCUCACCAAGGCGACGAUACAUAGCCGACCUGAGAGGGUGAUCGGCCACACUGGGACUGAGACACGGCCCAGACUCCUACGGGAGGCAGCAGUAGGGAAUCUUCGGCAAUGGACGGAAGUCUGACCGAGCAACGCCGCGUGAGUGAAGAAGGUUUUCGGAUCGUAAAGCUCUGUUGUAAGAGAAGAACGAGUGUGAGAGUGGAAAGUUCACACUGUGACGGUAUCUUACCAGAAAGGGACGGCUAACUACGUG